This 2181-nucleotide long non-coding RNA is filed under the name Mus musculus (house mouse). Its description in RNAcentral is "long non-coding RNA chr8:4176765-4178946". Lineage: Eukaryota; Metazoa; Chordata; Mammalia; Rodentia; Muridae. The record is from RNAcentral.
UAUUUUUACCCCUAUGAUGUUUAGUUAUUACAUGUCCUCCAGCUCCCAUGGGCUAUGGCACUUCCUUGUAAUGCCCUUUUUUCUGAUGACCUUCACAGACAAGAUAUUUCAUGCAGUACCCCUUCAUCAGGACCUCUCUGGCAUUCUUCUCAUAGAGUAAGACAAUGACCUCAAUGGAGAAACACCACAGAAUUAAAGCACCCUUCCCCAUCACCUCCUGUCAAGGGCUUAUGAGGUUACUGUUGCUGCUGACCCUGAUUACCUCUUUGAACCACAUGGGAAUUUUUGUCUUGAUUCACUCAACAAAUGUUUAUUGAGCACCUGCCAAAUUUUAAUAGUGCAUUAAGGGAUUAGAGCAUAAAUUAAGAUACUGCUUUGUCCUCAAAUCAUAAUGAAGCAAGCAAGGACAGAAGCCAUUGGUACAAAAUGUAUGUAGGGGGCUGGGGAAACAGCUUGGUGGUUAAGACAUGUGCCAUGUGUGAGGACUGGAAGUCAGAUCCUUGGUACCCACUUAGUGUCUGACGGGUGUUAGGGCCCACCUUCUGCCUAGGUAUGCUAGCAAUGUAAAUGAACUCAGGGAUUCUCAGCUAGACCAGGACUGUAGCUUGACUGGCAGAAUGCUUACCCAGAAUAGAUGAUAAUGUCAGCAAUUGAAGAAGAUGCUGCAUAUCAACCUCUGCUCUCUGCAUGAAUCCAAGUACAUAUAUGUUAAUCCUCCUCCCCAUGUGCAAACACACACACAUAUGUAGGGGGAAGCAUGUAUAUUGGGCUAAGGUGUGGAUUUUCAGGGGGAAAAUUCAGGAUAGUAGAACAAGAUUGAAAGAAAGACUUCAUGGUAAUCAUGCUUGUGGUGGGGCUAGAGAGAUGUUUCAGUGACUAAGAGCACUUAUCACUCUUUCCAAGUUCAGUUCCCAGCACUCAUGUGAUGGCUUACAAUCAUCCUUAACUCCAGUUCCAGAGAAUACAACACCCUCUUCUAAGAUCUGAGGACACCAGGUACACAUACAUACAUCCAGGCCAAGCACUCAUACACAUAAAAUGAAUCUAAGAAAUGAAAAAAGAAUGUUCAAAGCUGGAGGAUGACUCGGUAGGUAAAAGCACUUACCAGCAAAUGUGACAGACAGCCUUAGUUCAAUCCUAGGAAUGUACAUGAUGGAGCACAGAACUGAUCUCAUGAAUGGUUCUCACACCUUCACAUGCAUGCUGUGGGGCACAAACAUCCACACCACUACUAAUUAAUUAAUUAAUUAAUUAUAGUUUCAUUGAAAAAAAAGGGAUUCUCAGCUAGACCAGGACUGCAGCUUGACUGGCAGAAUGCUCACCCAGAAUGCUCCAGGCUCUGGGUUCUAUCCUCAGUACCGUAUAAAAUUGAACAUGGUGAUGAUACCUGUAAACAAAGCACAAAGAAUAGAAACGGAAGGAGGAAGAAAGCAUGUGUUGGAUUCAACUGCAUACAUUAGGCCAAAGGGGCCUUUCCAAAAUCUCACCCUCGUUCACAAGCCCUCAAAGAGAAGGCUUUGAUUACUGCAGGAUGGUUUGACUUCCUUUGGUGUUCCAUCCCUCUCCCAACUUUGUUUUGUUUUGUUAGUUUGUUUUUCUCAGUACUGGGAAUUUUAUUUUUGAGUACAGAACACUUGCAUCAUUUGUACUUUGUAUACACUGUGAGUUAUGAACACUAACAUGUACAUUUACAUGGGUGAAUACUUCAAUUGUCUCGGGUAAACGUCUAGUGAGAAACUGCUAGAUCCUACUGUAACUUAUUACUUCCAGAGAUUCUCUGACUGCUCCAUUCUGAGCACUCAUCUGGAUCUAUCAUAUACAUUCUGGGUGACUGUUUCUUACCAGGAAGAUCCAGAGUGACUCCUGCCUUAAAGUGAGAGGUCAUCAAGUCUUGUGGAGGAGCUGCGAAGGGCCAGCUGGCAAUCGUGGCUAACCACUGGUAGAAAGAAAAGGCAAGAGAUGAACGCUUCACUUACACUAGCUUGUUUAGACUGAGAAUAGGGCUGAAGGGAUGCUCCUUUGGAUGCUCUUGCAGAGGACUCAGGUUCUCUUCCCAGCACCCACAUGGUAGCUUACAACCAUCCUUAACUCCAGUUCGAAAGAUCCAGGAGCUUCUUUUGGCCCUCAUGGGCACCAGGCACGCAUAUGGUAUACUUACGUACAAGCAGUGAACAUUUAUAU